Molecule: small RNA, 148 nt
Filed under: human gut metagenome
Description: M-box riboswitch (ykoK leader)
Rfam family: M-box riboswitch aptamer (ykoK leader)
About the family: M-box riboswitch, also know as ykoK leader is described as a metaloregulatory RNA that sense divalent metals and function as a genetic control element of genes related to divalent metal transport in bacteria. It was first reported upstream of the B.subtilis ykoK gene and genes with related functions in other bacteria.
Source: RNAcentral
UUUUCCGGUAGGCAAGGCUACCACAUGGAUACGGAUUGCUGCCGCGAAGCAGUGGAGACACUGCAAGCCGGUCAACAGGCUAUGUCGAAACCAAGGCAUAAUCUAAUGCAAUUUCAUCGCCAUGCGAAGCUGAAGCUUGAACGGUGGC